AUGACUGCCAGCAAAAAACUUGGGAACCGAGAAUGCAAUCAUCCUUGUAAAAGUAAACAUACAUGUGGACAUGACUGCUGUAAAAUUGGAGUUGCACAGAAGUCAGAAAUUAAAGAGUCAACAAUUUCUUCAUAUUUAUCUGAUUUAAGAAACAGGAAUGCUGUUUCAUCUGUUCCUCCAGUUAAACGUCUGAAGAUACAGAUGAAUAAAUCUCAAAGUGUGGACCUUAAAGAGUUUGGUUUUACUCCAAAACCUUCCCUUCCUAGUAUAUCAAGGUCAGAAUAUUUAAACAUAUCUGAAUUACCUAUAAUGGAACAGUGGGAUCAGCCUGAAAUCUAUGGAAAAGUUAGACAAGAACCAUCUGAAUAUCAAGACAAAGAAGUUUUGAAUGUGAACUUUGAAUUGGGAAAUGAAGUUCGGGAUGAUUUUGAUGAGGAAAACUUAGAAGUUACUAGCUUUUCAACUGAUACUGAGAAGACAAAAAUAUCAGGAUUUGGAAACACUUUCAGUUCAAGUACCAGGGGAAGUAAGCUACCCCUUCAAGAGUCAAAGAGCAAAUUCCAAAGAGAAAUGUCAAACAGUUUUGUUUCAUCACAUGAGAUGUCAGAUAUUUCUUUAUCAAAUUCUGCUAUGCCCAAGUUCAGUGCAUCCUCCAUGACAAAAUUACCUCAACAAGCCGGAAAUGCAGUUCUUUUCCAUUUUCAAGAAAGAAAACCACAAAAUCUGUCACCAGAGAUUGAGAAGCUAUGCUUUACUUGCUCUGAAAAAAAACCAAAGUCUUCAAAUUAUAAAAAAGUGGAUUUUUUUAUUAGAAACAGUGAAUGUAAAAAGGAAGUUGAUUUCAGUAUGUAUCAUCCUGAUGAUGAAGCUGAUGAAAUGAAGUCUUUAUUGGGAAUAUUUGAUGGUAUUUUCUAAAACAAACAAAUGCUUUUAUAUUAAUAAGAGAAAGAAUAAAGACACCUAAUCACAAAGCACGCUUUUCAUUUUUAAAAAGUAGUUCAUAAUUGUUCAGAGUUUUUCUCCUGAAUUUGAUUAGCUUUGUUCACUUUUUGCAACAAAAUAUGUGGACCGAUUUAUUUUCCCAUUAUAUUGUAACUUCUUGAAAAGCUCUUUUACAGUGGCUUUGUUUCAAUAAGCCCUUAACUUAAGGGCUUAUUGCACUUAGAAAUAAGUUGCACUUAGAAAUAAUUAUUCGGUUAUUAAUUGGAUUUUGACAAGAACCAAUGUAAAAUUUUAUUUUUAUAUUUUGUUAAGAAGAAAAAUAUUCUUUGAAAGCAAAAUAAUGCUAAUGCAAUGAAUCUGCUUAUUGUAUGGAUUAAUCACUAAUAUUAUUCCCAUGUAUUUUGUUUUACUAAGAUUUUUAAGAAUCCAAUGACUAUUUGAACCUACUGUUACCUAACUUUGAGCAACAAUAAAUGAAACAUUAAUCAGUAUAAUUGUUGUUUUCAUCUAGCUUGUUUUUCAAUGUCGUGAAUUCUUAAACUUUGUUGACUUUUACCGUAGUAAAAAGAUUUUAUAUUUUUUUCCAAGGAAUUACAUUUCAAAUUCAUUUAUUGAUAAGUAUUAUAAAGGUACCCUAAGCAAUGUUUAUUAUCAAAAUUUUUAAUAGGUACUAUUAGAAGUUGAGGCCCACUUAAGAACUUUUAGG
Long non-coding RNA from Macaca nemestrina (pig-tailed macaque), 1648 nucleotides. The record is from Ensembl. Lineage: Eukaryota; Metazoa; Chordata; Mammalia; Primates; Cercopithecidae.